RNAcentral lists this ribosomal RNA (460 nucleotides) under uncultured bacterium. RNAcentral's name for it is "bacterial SSU rRNA". It matches the Rfam family "Bacterial small subunit ribosomal RNA", at positions 29 to 534 of the family's 1533-position model. The record is from RNAcentral.
AACGAACGCUGGCGGCAUGCCUAACACAUGCAAGUCGAACGAGAUCUUCGGGUCUAGUGGCGCACGGGUGCGUAACGCGUGGGAAUCUGCCCUUGGGUUCGGAAUAACUUCGGGAAACUGAAGCUAAUACCGGAUGAUGACGUAAGUCCAAAGAUUUAUCGCCCAAGGAUGAGCCCGCGUAGGAUUAGCUAGUUGGUGAGGUAAAGGCUCACCAAGGCGACGAUCCUUAGCUGGUCUGAGAGGAUGAUCAGCCACACUGGGACUGAGACACGGCCCAGACUCCUACGGGAGGCAGCAGUGGGGAAUAUUGGACAAUGGGCGCAAGCCUGAUCCAGCAAUGCCGCGUGAGUGAUGAAGGCCUUAGGGUUGUAAAGCUCUUUUACCCGGGAUGAUAAUGACAGUACCGGGAGAAUAAGCUCCGGCUAACUCCGUGCCAGCAGCCGCGGUAAAGUGACUACUG